Molecule: small RNA, 377 nt
Filed under: Pogona vitticeps (central bearded dragon)
Lineage: Eukaryota; Metazoa; Chordata; Lepidosauria; Squamata; Agamidae
Description: 7SK RNA (ENSPVIG00000011925.1)
Rfam family: 7SK RNA (bases 1-248)
About the family: 7SK was discovered as an abundant small nuclear RNA in the mid-70s but a possible function has only recently been suggested. Two independent studies have found that 7SK RNA binds the CDK9/cyclin T complex (known as elongation factor P-TEFb).
Source: RNAcentral
GGAAAGGAGAGCUAUCUGGCUGUCACAUCUAUCACCUGAUUGCCAGGUUGGUUCAGCUGAUCUGGCUGGCUAAGCCAGAGUCCCCUUCUUCCAUCUCUCCUCCAUGUGCCUCUCUCCUGAAGUGCACACUUGAUAGAAGACGGCAAGUUUUUAGUUUAUUUUUUGUUAAUAUUACACAAGAGUGUUGUUAUUAGGACAGACAAUCAUGCUGGUCAGGGUUUAGAGAGAUGAUCUUAUCUUAAGGUUUUUAUCAUUUGCUCAUUCUCUUAGGAUGCAAUGCCAAAGACAGCUCUGUGGGCUCCCAAAAUGGGUUGCAACUGUUUCAGUACCUAAAAUCAGCUUCAGUCUUGUCAACAUAAAGACCAGUGACUGUUAAG